CGGUGGCAUUCACACACGCCUCUCCCACGCUCUCCCACACCGCGCCCCUCUCACUCUCCCAACCCAGUGGUGAGCUUAGAAGAGAGAGAGAGAGAGAGACAAGACUACUCAGCUCACCCGGGAUAUUAGUGUAGCAAGUGGCCGCGUUUACAGAUUCUGUUUUUAAGUGUUAGUGAUGUGAACGAAUCUUAUUUCCCCCCUCGUAAACAAGUAAACAGUCAUCUAUUUACACUUUAGGAUGGUAACUAUGGGCGUGAGAGGCCGCGUCGACCAUAGGCCAUGAAGCGACCCCCGAGCCGCCCACGGCCACCCACCACCACUACCACUACCCCGCCCACGCCGCCCACCAACCCAGCAUGGGUGGUGGCCUGCCGCCUCCUGCUCAUCUUGCUGGUGGCGGGCGG
Long non-coding RNA from Homarus americanus (American lobster), 404 nucleotides. RefSeq lists it as uncharacterized. Lineage: Eukaryota; Metazoa; Arthropoda; Malacostraca; Decapoda; Nephropidae. The record is from RefSeq and is a predicted model, not a curated record. The transcript is spliced from 3 exons.